UGAUCAUUUAUGUGUCUUUG
This 20-nucleotide non-coding RNA is filed under the name Arabidopsis thaliana (thale cress). The record is from RNAcentral. Lineage: Eukaryota; Viridiplantae; Streptophyta; Magnoliopsida; Brassicales; Brassicaceae.